UGCGGCCGUUUCAUUGCCAGCUGUGAGGAUGAAGCAGCUUCAUAGCGGGAGAUCAGACGCCUCCAAUCAGUUUCCCUUUUCAGCAAUAGAGGCCUUGGAUCCCUUUCCACCUGCGUUGCAUCCUGUGGCUGACCACUCCAAUGAUCUCGGCAGAAUCGUUACACAGGAAGAAGUCCGGCUGGCCCCAAGCCUGGUGUGAAAUGAAGAAAUGGCACUCCACAUCAAUUCAUGUUUACUUGUCGUCAUAGCCAGUCUGUUAGCUUAAUUUUUGGUUCUUGUUAUUGAAUUC
Non-coding RNA from Dermacentor albipictus, 289 nucleotides. NCBI's taxonomy places the organism in Eukaryota, Metazoa, Arthropoda, Arachnida, Ixodida, Ixodidae. The record is from RefSeq and is a predicted model, not a curated record.